Molecule: ribosomal RNA, 460 nt
Filed under: uncultured bacterium
Lineage: Bacteria
Description: bacterial SSU rRNA
Rfam family: Bacterial small subunit ribosomal RNA
Source: RNAcentral
GUACGGGAGGCAGCAGUGAGGAAUUUUGGACAAUGGGGGCAACCCUGAUCCAGCCAUGCCGCGUGCGGGAAGAAGGCCUUCGGGUUGUAAACCGCUUUUAGUCGGGACGAAAGCUGCACGGAUAACACCCGUGCGGGUUGACGGUACCGGCGGAAUAAGCACCGGCUAACUACGUGCCAGCAGCCGCGGUAAUACGUAGGGUGCGAGCGUUAAUCGGAAUUACUGGGCGUAAAGCGUGCGCAGGCGGUUCGUUGUGUCGGCGGUGAAAGCCCCGGGCUUAACCUGGGAACGGUCGUUGAAACUGGCGAACUGGAGUGUGGCAGAGGGGGGUGGAAUUCCGCGUGUAGCAGUGAAAUGCGUAGAGAUGCGGAGGAACACCGAUGGCGAAGGCAGCCCCCUGGGCUGACACUGACGCUCAGGCACGAAAGCGUGGGGAGCAAACAGGAUUAGAUACCCUAGU